This 534-nucleotide ribosomal RNA is filed under the name Triticum aestivum (bread wheat). Its description in RNAcentral is "partial small subunit ribosomal RNA". Lineage: Eukaryota; Viridiplantae; Streptophyta; Magnoliopsida; Poales; Poaceae. The record is from RNAcentral.
AUGGAAACUGUUGGAUGGUCCUAUGAGCUAGCCCACUCCAUCAUACUAAAAAACAUGCGAGCAGUUUUCUUAUCACUCAUCGGCGUUCCUCUCUCCAUCGGACCCUUCCUAUCUCGCCAUUGCGGAGGCGGCAGCAGCGACGACGCCGGAGGGACGACCAAGAGGCGAUGGCUACCUCUCUCGUGUGUGGAGUAUUUCCCUUUCCCUCUCUCACGCGGCAGCGAUUUGGAGGCGACGUGGGCGCUGCAAAGGUCCGGCGCAAGCUCGGCUGCGACAACGGACUUCUCCGACGCCCCUCUCCACAAUUGGCGGUCCUCCCGCCGGCAAAUGAGGAUUGAAAUUCUGCCAAGAAAUCUUAGAGCAGAAGAUGUUUGCAAGGGACUUGGAAGACGAGGGAAUGCUGCGCAGGCGAGAAAAUGGCAAUUUGGAGAAAUUCGUGGUUACCAGCAGUCUCGAGUUAGAUUUAUUUCAAUUGCAACCAGGCAGAGUGUUGUGAAUUUGAAUUUGGGUGUGCAUGAUCUUACUAGCUUCUAA